This 65-nucleotide transfer RNA is filed under the name Diplodiscus japonicus. RNAcentral's name for it is "tRNA-Pro". The record is from RNAcentral. Lineage: Eukaryota; Metazoa; Platyhelminthes; Trematoda; Plagiorchiida; Diplodiscidae.
CAGAAAGGAGUUUGAAAAGAAUGUGAGUUUUGGGGAUUUAAGGUCUUUGUGUGAAAGCUUUUUGA